UUUGGGUCAGCUGCUGAGGAGCAUCAGAGCAUCUCACUCAAGUCCCACAUCCAGACACAUCUGAGACCAGUGCUGCAGCUAUGGUGCUAUUUUGAAAUUAAAUGUGCUCUUCCUUUGACAAAGAUGUCACCUAUCCUUGAGAAAUUAGUCCUUUCUUUCCCCAUCACAAUGAAAUAUUAUUUUUGUUACAAAGAGAGGAAAGACUUUUUUCUGGUUUUAUUCAGCAUCUGGACCUAUAAAUUAAAGGUGUUUGCAGAUGUUUUGUUUGUCACAGGUCAAUUAGUGACUUACUGGCAGAUUCCACAGCCUGGGAACUUCUGUCAGACCUCCUUCUUCACACUUAAUGGAGAUGGCAGGAAAGCCUCUGGGCAAUUUUGCUGUCCUAGUAGCUGAAUGCCCUGAAGCACAGAAGAGGAGCACCUGCUCAUGGCUGGAUCCACAGGACAGCCUGGAAUCACUCUUCUUUGUAUGGAUGUGCAUUUUCUCUCACAGCAGAAGUUGUUGCUCCACUGUGGGCUGUAAAAUGGGAAUUUGGACCUCAUAAAAACAAGGGUUGAGUUGUUCAUCCUGAUGGAUACAUAAGAGAACUCUUCAUUCUGACUUUGAGUCACAUUUAAAGCGGAGCCUGUUACCUGUUCUCUCUGAUCACGGUCACUGGAUCAAUAAAGUAUUAUUGUCCUUUUUCAUUUGCUCAGAGAAGCUGAGGCUGCCCCAUUCCUGGAGGUGUUCAAGGCCAGGUUGGAUGGGGCUUGGAGCAAUGUGAGCUAGUGGAAGGAAUAAGAUUAUCUUUAAGAUCUCUUCCAACCCAGGCCAUUCUGUGAUUCUAUGACUAUCUUCUUCUUAAUAAGGCUUUUUUUCAAACACAAAUAUUUAUUAAUAUCCCUGAACUUUUUUUUCCUUGGGCUGACAACCUUUUUUUUUUUUUUUUUCUUUUUCCUCACCUUUUUAUUUUUAUAUAUAUGUAUAUUUUAACAUCAAUGUGGAUGAUGUUCUCAUAGAAAGACACUGAUACAGAUCUCUAAUGAACAAGGCAUGCCACCAUGUCUGGAAAAAGAAUCAUAUGCUUGAAUUUUCUAAACUCAAGAGC
This is a long non-coding RNA of Corvus hawaiiensis (hawaiian crow), 1087 nucleotides long. RefSeq lists it as uncharacterized. NCBI's taxonomy places the organism in Eukaryota, Metazoa, Chordata, Aves, Passeriformes, Corvidae. The transcript is spliced from 2 exons. The record is from RefSeq and is a predicted model, not a curated record.